UGGUCAGCCCUGGAGUCUGACUCUCCAGUUUAGCCACAGAUUGGCUACCACGCAGGCAGUAGCAAGGCAAGCUUCCUCCAUGCUACCCUGCCAAUAUGCCAGAAAGGACUUCAUCUGAGGGUAAAAGGGGAGAUCAGUCUCCAUGGCUCAUUCAGCCCUUGGCCUCU
RNAcentral lists this small RNA (167 nucleotides) under Gopherus agassizii (Agassiz's desert tortoise). RNAcentral describes it as "TUC338 (ENSGAGG00000011600.1)". Lineage: Eukaryota; Metazoa; Chordata; Testudines; Testudinidae. The record is from RNAcentral.